GGGGAAUUUUCCSCAAUGGGCGAAAGCCUGACGGAGCAAUACCGCGUGUGGGAGGAAGGYCCUUGGGUUGUAAACCHCUUUUAUCAGGGAAGAAGCUCUGACGGUACCUGAKGAAUAAGCAUCGGCUAACUCCGUGCCAGCAGCCGCGGUAAUACGGAGGAUGCAAGCGUUAUCCGGAAUCAUUGGGCGUAAAGCGUCCGUAGGUGGUUUGUCAAGUCUGUCGUCAAAGAAUGGAGCUUAACUCCAUAAAGGCGGUGGAAACUGAGAGACUAGAGUUCGGUAGGGGUAGCGGGAAUUCCCAGUGUAGCGGUGAAAUGCGUAGAUAUUGGGAAGAAC
RNAcentral lists this ribosomal RNA (336 nucleotides) under uncultured cyanobacterium. RNAcentral describes it as "bacterial SSU rRNA". It matches the Rfam family "Bacterial small subunit ribosomal RNA", at positions 356 to 707 of the family's 1533-position model. Lineage: Bacteria; Bacillati; Cyanobacteriota. The record is from RNAcentral.